GACGAACGCUGGCGGCGUGCUUAACACAUGCAAGUCGAACGGUGAAGCGCCUUCCUUUUUGGUGGGUGUGGAUGAGUGGCGAACGGGUGAGUAACACGUGAGUAACCUGCCCCCUUCUUCUGGAUAACCGCAUGAAAGUGUGGCUAAUACGGGAUAUUCUGGGUCUGUCGCAUGAUGGGUCUGGGUAAGAUAUUGUUUCGGUGGGGGAUGGGCUCGCGGCCUAUCAGCUUGUUGGUGGGGUGAUGGCCUACCAAGGCGGUGACGGGUAGCCGGCCUGAGAGGGUGGCAGGUCACACUGGGACUGAGACACAGCCCCGACUCCUACGGGAGGCAGCCGUGGCUCCUACUGCACGCGGCGGUCAAGCCUGAUGCAGCGACGCCGCGUGAGGGAUGGAGGCCUUCGGGUUGUGAGCCUCUUUCGCCAGUGAAGCAGGCCUGCCUCGUUUGUGGGUGGGUUGACGGUAGCUGGAUAAGAAGCGCCGGCUAACUACGUG
Molecule: ribosomal RNA, 494 nt
Filed under: uncultured bacterium
Lineage: Bacteria
Description: partial 16S ribosomal RNA
Rfam family: Bacterial small subunit ribosomal RNA
Source: RNAcentral